Molecule: long non-coding RNA, 4569 nt
Organism: Cyprinus carpio carpio
Lineage: Eukaryota; Metazoa; Chordata; Actinopteri; Cypriniformes; Cyprinidae
Source: Ensembl
AGCUUGCCCACAUGAAAAAUAUUUCUAAUAUGUGAAAUGAAAUGUUAUUUGUAAUGCAGAAAGACAGAAACACUUUAGGCUAGUUAAAAUAUUUAAUAUUCACAGAUGAAAGUUUAGUCCUUAUGAAGAUGUGCGUUUCUUAGAACGAAUUCAAGCAGGAUAAGUGUGAAGCCUAUGAGUGUCACGAAACGCACACAAAGAGGUAGAUCCAAAUGCAGUGUUUAAUGGGUAAUCCAGAAAUCAUAACUCUAGCCAGGCAACGGUCAAAAUCCAGGUAAUCAGUCCAAAACAAGAAACACAAACAAAGCAAGGAAACACGAAACAGCAGGGUGACUUUAAACAAGGACUCCGUAACAAAGACAGAAACAAACCAGGUAUUUAUAGACAGGUGAUUACAAUACUAACGGGGAAUUGGCUGAGUGCAAUGAUUAAUGACCAGGGACAGCUGAGUGCAAUGAGCAGUGAUGAAACAAACAAGACUAAGGGAAAUGUAGUUCUGAGGUGGGGUGACGCUAAGGGGAAGUGAGACCUCUAGUGGACACCCAGGGAUACACAAACCAGACACCGUGACACUACCCCCCCUCUAAGGAGCAGCUUCCAGAUGCUCCUCAGAACAAAACAAACACAAAACAAAGAGACCAGGAGGGAGGUGGACUGGUGGAGGCAGAACAGGGGGAGGGAUGGCGGGCCAGGCCCGUGUAGGGGAACUGGGACCGGCAGCGAUGGCUCCCCUGGCAGCCCAGGUGGCUCGGUCAGAUCAGGGGGCCAUGGUGGACCCGAAAGUUCAGGGGACCACGAGGGACCAGGCAGUUCAGGUGGCCACGGUGGACCCGAAAGUUCAGGGGACCACGAGGGGCCAGGCAGUUCAGGUGGCCACGGUGGAUCAGUCCAUUCUCGUUGUGCAGACGGCCAGGGAGGAAUUCACCAUUUGAGUGGCCCGAACGGAACCUGCCAUUCGGGGAGCCAGUGAGGAGCAGACUGUGGCGAUGGCCAGGUCACGGCAUUGGACACCGCCUCGGGAACGACCUCGGGCACGACCUCGGGCACCGCCCUGGGAGCGGCCUCAGGAACGGCAUGGGACAAGGACACCGCCUCGGGAACGGCCCUGGACAUCGCCUCGGCCUGCGCAUCGGACACCGCCUCGGCCUCCGGAACCAUCUCGGGCACCGCCUCGGACACCGCCUCGGCCUCCGGCACCAUCUCGGGCCCCGCCUCGGCCUCCGGAACAGCAUCGGGCCCCGCCUCGGCCUCCGGAACAGCAUCGGUCACUGCCUCGGCAUCGAGUACCGCCUCGACCUCCGGAACGGCAUCGGGCACCGCCUCGGCAUCGGGAACCGCAUCGGGCACCGCUUCGGCAUCAGGCACCGCCUCGGGAACCUUGGGCACGUCCUCCUGGAUGGCAGCGGCCUGCUCGGGAACGUCCUCCUGGACGGCAGCGGCCUGCUCGGGAACGUCCUCCUGGACGGCAGCGGCCUGCUCGGGAACGUCCUCCGGGCUUUGAGGAACGGCUGACGCCUGUCUCCUCCUCCUGCGGCCUCUAUGAUGGCGUGCCGGUGGCUCCUUGACGGAAGACUCAGGCGUUGAGUCAACCAUCUUGUGCUGUGGUGCUGGGCUGGCGGCCAUCUUGUGCUGUGGCGCUGGGCACGCUGAGCUGGCGGCCAUCCUGUGCAAUGGCGCUGGGCUGGCGGCCAUCUUGUGCUGUGGUGCUGAACUGGUGGCCAUCUUGGGCAUUGGCGCUGGCUCAGCGGCCGUGAUGUGAGUACUCCUGGGAAGGAUCUGGCACAUCCUGGAAAAGUAACUUAAUAAUGUCUCCGCGGCCAUCUUGGGCUGUGGCGCUGGGCUGGCGGCCAUCUUGUGCUGUGGCGCUGGGCUGGCGGCCAUCUUGUGCUGUGGCGCUGGGCUGGCGGCCAUCUUGUGCUGUGGCGCUGGGCUGGCGGCCAUCUUGUGCUGUGGCGCUGGGCUGGCGGCCAUCUUCUCUGGAGACACAGGUGUGGUCGAAGUAUCCCAUUGAGCACGAUGGCGCAGGUAAUGGGUAAACCCCCAAAAGUCUAGGAUCUCCAGCCCCUUCAUCUCCCACCGAGGCAAAGGGUCAUCCAGGCAGUCAUUAAACAAAUCCUUUAGUGCCUCAUCGUUAUACCCCCGCCCUACCGCCAUAGUCCAAAACGCUUGAGCCAGAUCACCCACCUCACGCCCCCUUUGACGAAGGGUGGUUAAGUUCCGUAGUCUACCCCUCCGUUCCUUCAUGGUGGCUGGGGAACAGCUUCGAACUCCCACACCGCUGGAUCUAUGCGUGACGGAGUCCUUCUGUCACGAAACGCACACAAAGAGGUAGAUCCAAAUGCAGUGUUUAAUGGGUAAUCCAGAAAUCAUAAAUCUAGCCAGGCAACGGUCAAAAUCCAGGUAAUCAGUCCAAAACAAGAAACACAAACAAAGCAAGGAAUCACGAAACAGCAGGGUGACUUUAAACAAGGACUCCGUAACAAAGACAGAAACAAACCAGGUAUUUAUAGACAGGUGAUUACAAUACUAACGGGGAAUUGGCUGAGUGCAAUGAUUAAUGACCAGGGACAGCUGAGUGCAAUGAGCAGUGAUGAAACAAAGAAGACUAAGGGAAAUGUAGUUCUGAGGUGGGGUGACGCUAAGGGGAAGUGAGACCUCUAGUGGACACCCAGGGAUACACAAACCAGACACCGUGACAAUGAGCCUGUGCUUAUAUUUUCUCUACACCACAUUUUAGGUUUGACACAUUUAAAUAGUGUGCAGUAUUAUUUAUAUAAUAUGAAUUGUGUGCUAUAUUAUUCAAAAGAAAUUGUGGUUUACUUUGCAUCGGAACAUUAAGUGGUAGCCUAUUGUGAGCUAGGCUUGCGUGUUUUAUAAAUUAUUUUCUUUAUUUUAGUAAAACGUGAGGCACUGUAUAAUUUCGCUCCCAUUAUUUAGGCCUAAUUAAAACAAGAAACAAAUAAAUUAAACCUGCACGAUUUAGCUAAAUCACUGAAACUCUAAAGAAUGGACUGAUUAAUAAAACGUCCUCAUGAUUAAACUCAAGUCAUUAAUCAACAAAAUACACACAAUGUAAAAAAAAGUCUUCUUUACUUGCUUUCAUAUAAUUUAAGUAAAGUAAAAAAAAUAAAUAAACUGAAAUAAAUUGCAGCCGCAUUUAAAUGCAGGUUUGUACAAUAUUCUGUAAAAUGUCAGAGUGCAAGAUUUGCUCUGCGCGCAUGAUGCUGAGUGCACAGCAUUUAUUCUUAUUUGUCUACAUUUUAUCUUAAUUACAAAUCUUGUUUGGUUUUAUUUUGGAUAAUUGCAUGUAAAAAAAAUAUUUACUUUGUAAUGCAUAUGCAAAAUGUUAAUUAUUAUUCAUAUUCAAGUGUUUGUGCCAAAAUUAUUUAUGCGCUUGACAGGGAGGCGCCCUCUCGAUCACGUGAUUUUUUUCCCUAAUAAUGAAAUAACUGAAAAUCUGGGUGUCUCACAUACAUGAGAAAUAUAUCUACAGAAAGCUUGAAAUGUCUUUUAAACGAAUCAAUUCAAAACGAAAGCAUUAUGUAAUCUGAGAAGGUUUCAUUUCUCUCUAAAGCCGCGUUCAUGUGGAGAGAGCCAGCACUGUGAAUUUCAUCUUGCAGCCGACAAGAAAACAUUUGUUUAUUAAUAAAUAAUUAAAAUGUCUCCUUUUUCACAAUUAUUAGGCUACUUCUGCCUGUGCUUUGUGGCAAACUUAAUGCAUGUUCUAUAUUAAGGCUCAUUAUGGAUUAUAGAUGUAAAUUUAAUAUAAACCUCUGAUUAGUUGAAUAAUGACAAAUGAACGACUAGUAACUAGAAAAUCUUACGUGGGAGGCAGAUCUAUUAAAUACCCUCUAGACAUCUCUGUUAAAGUUUUUAAAGCAUUUUAUACGCAUUUGUAUAAAUUCUACUUUCAGAACGGUCUGUAACGGAGAGAUGCCUUAACAAUGAUUUUCCCUCUGAAACACAAAAACGAAAAUUUAAAUAAAACUGAUAUUUUAUGUUUUGAGAAUGGCCAACCCUUCUCUGCAGAUAUUGUGCUUCUGGUUUGUGCAUUUUAAAUCACAUAAAGUCUACAAAAUAUAAUGUCUCCCAAAAUUGGUGUUUUUUUGUCACCUAUAAAACAUGUUCAUAGACGGAUACUUUACUGAUGUCUGGACUCUGUUUGGGAUUUAGAAAAACUUAAAGAGAUGGUUUAAUAUAGGCCUAUUGUUUAUGAAUAGGCUACAUUCUGUGAAAAUGUAUAUUUCACACUCUAAAAAAAUAUUGUAUGGACGCAACAAAAUAAAAUGGCCGAUGCUCCACUCAGGGCUCGUAGUUGUGAUUGGGCUCAACCCUCCCCCGCGCGUCUGAGACAUGCUGCCGAGCAGAGUAUGAGCGGAGCGAUGUUAUUCUGACUGGAGCGAUUUUUUAAAAGUCGGAGCGUCGUGGUUUUCACUCCCUCCAGCACCGCUCCAUCACGAAUACAAGUCAUGCCAAUGGCCCAUAAUAUAACUGCAUAUUUAGCAAGAAUUCACAUGAUAAACAUAUUUAGCUAUAUCUUGAUACACAUAAUCUCUCCGUAUAAUGACG